RNAcentral lists this ribosomal RNA (439 nucleotides) under Clostridioides difficile. RNAcentral describes it as "partial 23S ribosomal RNA". It matches the Rfam family "Bacterial large subunit ribosomal RNA", at positions 26 to 467 of the family's 2925-position model. Lineage: Bacteria; Bacillati; Bacillota; Clostridia; Peptostreptococcales; Peptostreptococcaceae. The record is from RNAcentral.
GGAUGCCUUGGCACUAGGAGCCGAUGAAGGACGUGAUAAGCUGCGAUAAGCUUCGGGGAGUUGCACGUAAACUUUGAUCCGAAGAUUUCCGAAUGAGGAAACUCACUUAGAGUAAUGUCUAAGUAUCAUUAAGUGAAUACAUAGCUUAAUGAGGGGAACUCAGGGAACUGAAACAUCUAAGUACCUGAAGGAAGAGAAAGAAAUUCGAUUCCGUAAGUAGCGGCGAGCGAACGCGGAUUAGCCCAAACCAAUAAAGGUUUCUUUAUUGGGGUUGCGGACAUAUCAUAACGAAGAGGUAUCGUAAUUGAAGAGGUUUGGAAAGACCCACCACAGAAGGUAAUAGUCCUGUAUGUUAAACGAGAAGACUUCAGAUAUGAUCCAGAGUACCACGGGACACGUGAAACCCUGUGGGAAGCAGGAGGGACCACCCUCCAAGGCU